Salvia miltiorrhiza (redroot sage) is the source of this 1377-nucleotide long non-coding RNA. RefSeq lists it as uncharacterized. The record is from RefSeq and is a predicted model, not a curated record. The transcript is spliced from 3 exons. Lineage: Eukaryota; Viridiplantae; Streptophyta; Magnoliopsida; Lamiales; Lamiaceae.
CUAGAAUCCAUAAAAUAUAUCAACAACGAGAAGCUUUCCACUAUACACAGCUCGAGGGCUAGAGAGAAAACUAGAGUGAGAAAAAUGAUCUACAGGAAGUGGAGUCUGCUAACCGGCCCGACCUCGAUCAUCGCCGGAGUAAUCGGCACUGUGGUGGUUGCCGAUCUCCUCUUCGUUGAUAACGGUUGGUUGCGCAAGGGAGAUGAAAAAAAGCAAGAACCAGCAACUUCAUCCAAGUAGAAGCAGAUAGGAUGCAUUGUCUUCUUCUCUUUUGUCAAAAACGUGUUGUUGAAUAAAUUUAUGUUGUUCGUUGUAAAACUCAGUUUUUGUGUUUAAAUCUUUUGAGUUUUCAUCAACAGCCUCAGUUCCAAAAAUGGGAAAUAUGUGAGGUUAUCUGGAUAGCAAGAAAAUCAAGAAGUUGAGCAUUUCCAUGAUCAAAUCAUUCCAAGAAUCUAUAGGCCCAGGUAAGCACCAAUGCAAACAGUCAUUCUGAAUCUUUGCAUCCUUGUCCUUCCCCUGGUAUGGUUGGAACUGCCUGUACACGCCCGGAUGCCCAUCCGGCCUGAGGAGCGAAAGCAUGGUAGUGUCGAGCAGCUUCAAACUGCCUGCCCCGUUUCUUGAAACUGCCCACUCGAACUCCUCAAGCUCAACAUUUCUCAUCAUCUCAUCUACGUCUCUCGUUUCAACCUCGCCUGCUUUGAAUGGCUCCGUCCUGUUGCAGUAACCCCCGCUGUCCCAUUCCCCGUUCUCAAAGUGAUCCGGAGUCAUGGUUCGGAAGAGGAUAUACGGCUUUUGCUUCGCCUCGGAUACGAAUUUGAGCGUGGAGUUGAGUGCUUUUCUAUAAGCAUGCUCGAACCCUACUUCUGUUAUGUUGCUACCAUGGCAGCCGUGGCAGCCCAAAAUGGUGUUGUUCUCGUAGUAGAUUGCAUACUUGAGAAACCAUUGCCCUCCACCAAUCACCACGUGGUCGAAAUCCUCGUACUGAUCAGUCCAGAUGGUGUCGGGCUCGUCUAUAUGUAGCUGGAUUAUGCCGGAGGAGACACCAUCGUCGUUCUCAAAAGUGGAGGCUUUCGUUAGGAAUGGGGCCCAUACGACGAAGACCGUGAAGUUGUGAGAGGGAAACGACCAUCUCCGGUUCUUGUAAGGCUCGUCGUGGUAGAUGUCAACGGCUUCUUCGACCUAUAACGUCAAGUUAGAUCGUUCAUAAAUAAAUGACAGCAAAAUGAAAUGAAAGUUAGAUGAUGUUUGACUAAACUUAUAAGCUCUUUAAAACAACUUACAAAUUGUUUAAGAGUUUUUAAUUUUUUUCAAAAUAUUUGGCAAAAUAUGUUUUUAAAUAAUUUAUAAGCUCUUCAAAAAAUAGGUCUUCUACCCUAA